CCGCCAUACUGUAUUUUGUAGUAACUCAUUUUUAUUCCUCCCUUUUACUCCCGCUCGUGGAAGGUUUUCCUGGAGAAUGAAGUGCGGUUUGGUUUCCUUGUCAACGGAAGAUGAAGUGAACAACUGAGCAUCUCCCCAGUGCAGACUUGCUGGACCUUCCCUCCUGCUCUGGACCUCUCCCCUGGCGUCGACACAGCUCAGAAGGAUGAAAGAAAAAGAAGCAAUAGGAGAGGGAUGGAAGAGGGGAGAGGAGUAAAAGGAGGAGGAAGGCAGCAAUUGAAAUGGAGAAAAAUUCAGCAGCGUUUCAGUCUAUUUCCACCACAAAUGCCUCCUGCCUAAACAAAGUACCAGCGGAGCCAGAACUUGAAAUCAUGGAUUCUUGAAAAGGGGUAUUUCCUGGGUGAAGGUUUCAUUUGUCCGGUAACC
RNAcentral lists this long non-coding RNA (426 nucleotides) under Crocodylus porosus (Australian saltwater crocodile). RNAcentral describes it as "lncRNA (ENSCPRG00005000583.1)". Lineage: Eukaryota; Metazoa; Chordata; Crocodylia; Crocodylidae. The record is from RNAcentral.